AGUGAACGCUGGCGGUAGGCCUAACACAUGCAAGUCGAACGGCAGCACAGUAAGAGCUUGCUCUUACGGGUGGCGAGUGGCGGACGGGUGAGGAAUACAUCGGAAUCUACUUUUUCGUGGGGGAUAACGUAGGGAAACUUACGCUAAUACCGCAUACGACCUACGGGUGAAAGCAGGGGAUCUUCGGACCUUGCGCGAUUGAAUGAGCCGAUGUCGGAUUAGCUAGUUGGCGGGGUAAAGGCGCACCAAGGCGACGAUCCGUAGCUGGUCUGAGAGGAUGAUCAGCCACACUGGAACUGAGACACGGUCCAGACUCCUACGGGAGGCAGCAGUGGGGAAUAUUGGACAAUGGGCGCAAGCCUGAUCCAGCCAUACCGCGUGGGUGAAGAAGGCCUUCGGGUUGUAAAGCCCUUUUGUUGGGAAAGAAAAGCAGCAGGCUAAUACCCCGCUGUUCUGACGGUACCCAAAGAAUAAGCACCGGCUAACUUCGUG
This 492-nucleotide ribosomal RNA is filed under the name uncultured bacterium. RNAcentral's name for it is "partial 16S ribosomal RNA". It matches the Rfam family "Bacterial small subunit ribosomal RNA", at positions 29 to 507 of the family's 1533-position model. The record is from RNAcentral.